UACAUUGCAAUUGAUUACACAGUCCUCUCUGGUCCCAAGAGAACACCUACUUUGCCCAUGCAAUGACCUUUUUCCAAAUUUGAGUUAAUCAUUGCCCAUUCGCCUAACUUAAGCAGCAUUUCAGUGUGCUUGUUUCAGAACACUUCCGCCUGGUCUUCAUGAAAUUCCAGAGGUAACUGCAUCUGCUGUGAUUUAGCACAUGAUAUGAGAGACUUUUCAAGGGACUAUAUUGCUGCAAGAAGAGAUGCUUAAUUCCCACUAUUUGCAUUCUGGCUGUGAAUAGUAACUGAAAAACUGCAAUUCAAAUAGUUUUUGUAAGGAAACAUCUGUGAAUGAGAACAGUUAAACUCAAGGAAAUGGGCUUGUGGGUUAUUAAGCAAUACAGUGAAGGACCAGCUAACAUACAAGAACAAAGUCUUUGGUACUUUCUGAAAAAAGAUGGCUUGUUCCUGGGCCAUACUUCUCUAUAAUUUGGGGGAGGAAUUUGUCGCUCCUCACAAACCAUUCCAAUCUGUUUUUUUUUCCUUCUGGUUUACUUUUCAGGAUGCAAAUUCACAUGAAUAGAUUGUUGAUGUUGCUUUAUUCAUGUUCUCCUUUAUAGCAGAAGUUGGUACCAUUUUGGAAACCAAUGGAUUAAAUGAGAGAUCGGAUCUGAGACACAAUCCACUGAAAGAAUGAAACUUCCCCUGACUCAGAUUUUGAUUCUUGGCUUCUCAGUAUUGCUGUCCUUUCCAACAGGUGACGGGCUCAUGUGUCAUCAGUGUUUUUCAAUUAAAAAGGACAAUACAUGUAAAAUACCAUCCAUCUGCAGUGUGUCUAACAGUCAGUUUUGCUUCAUUCAAAGAAUCUCCAGAGGAGGAUACAUUAGGAGAAUAAGCCAAGGUUGCACUUCUUACUGCGCAGAUGCUGUUCGGUUCAGCAAUGCCUUUAUAAAGUAUACUUUUUGCUGCAGGACAGAUUACUGUAAUAAAUAUAAUGUUUGGCAGUUUCAUUAACUUCAGUCUUGGCAGGAGCUGCUCCAUUCUUUCUGCUACUGACAACUGAUAUGUAUCUUCCACACACAGAUACACAGGAUAAUAACAUGGCUUGGUGUGGUGGUGGUGACUUCCUAUUUGUUUAUGUGGGUUGAAGGACCCAUUGGGAUACAGCUUUAUGGCACAUCUUUCCAGUAAGCCUCUGUGCUCUAGGGUUUUGUAGAAUGAUCACCAGAGCUAGAGUUAAGGGAAUGAGGGGAGGAAGAAAUGCAAUUUUCAGACAAAAAUGGCCUCUUCACAGUAACCUUGGCAAAAUGUCAAAAUGUUUGCUGUCUCUGUUAAUAUCAAGAGAUAUAUGAGCCAUUUUGAAUGUCACAUCUGCGCAACAGCUAUACAGAGCCAUCACCAAAUCACUCCAAAUUGCAUCAGGAGUGAUGCUUUCCUACCUGAGGCAAAAAGGCAAGAUGGGUCACCUUCUAUGUGAAGAAAGGGUUUGGACCAGCAAAGGUAGAUUCUCUUCCACAGCAUCUG
Molecule: long non-coding RNA, 1505 nt
Organism: Candoia aspera
Lineage: Eukaryota; Metazoa; Chordata; Lepidosauria; Squamata; Candoiidae
Exons: 5
Source: RefSeq, a predicted model, not a curated record